GACGAACGCUGGCGGCGUGCCUAAUACAUGCAAGUAGAACGCUGAAGAGAGGAGCUUGCUCUUCUUGGAUGAGUUGCGAACGGGUGAGUAACGCGUAGGUAACCUGCCUGGUAGCGGGGGAUAACUAUUGGAAACGAUAGCUAAUACCGCAUAAAAUUGAUUAUUGCAUGAUAAUUAAUUGAAAGAUGCAAUUGCAUCACUACCAGAUGGACCUGCGUUGUAUUAGCUAGUUGGUGAGGUAACGGCUCACCAAGGCGACGAUACAUAGCCGACCUGAGAGGGUGAUCGGCCACACUGGGACUGAGACACGGCCCAGACUCCUACGGGAGGCAGCAGUAGGGAAUCUUCGGCAAUGGGGGGAACCCUGACCGAGCAACGCCGCGUGAGUGAAGAAG
RNAcentral lists this ribosomal RNA (395 nucleotides) under uncultured Streptococcus sp. RNAcentral's name for it is "bacterial SSU rRNA". It matches the Rfam family "Bacterial small subunit ribosomal RNA", at positions 28 to 413 of the family's 1533-position model. Lineage: Bacteria; Bacillati; Bacillota; Bacilli; Lactobacillales; Streptococcaceae. The record is from RNAcentral.